GACGAACGCUGGCGGCGUGCUUAACACAUGCAAGUCGAACGGAAAGGCCCUGCUUUUGUGGGGUGCUCGAGUGGCGAACGGGUGAGUAACACGUGAGUAACCUGCCCUUGACUUUGGGAUAACUUCAGGAAACUGGGGCUAAUACCGGAUAGGAGCUCCUGCUGCAUGGUGGGGGUUGGAAAGUUUCGGCGGUUGGGGAUGGACUCGCGGCUUAUCAGCUUGUUGGUGGGGUAGUGGCUUACCAAGGCUUUGACGGGUAGCCGGCCUGAGAGGGUGACCGGCCACAUUGGGACUGAGAUACGGCCCAGACUCCUACGGGAGGCAGCAGUGGGGAAUAUUGCACAAUGGGCGGAAGCCUGAUGCAGCAACGCCGCGUGCGGGAUGACGGCCUUCGGGUUGUAAACCGCUUUCGCCUGUGACGAAGCGUGAGUGACGGUAAUGGGUAAAGAAGCACCGGCUAACUACGUGCCAGCAGCCGCGGUGAUACGUAGGGUGCGAGCGUUGUCCGGAUUUAUUGGGCGUAAAGGGCUCGUAGGUGGUUGAUCGCGUCGGAAGUGUAAUCUUGGGGCUUAACCCUGAGCGUGCUUUCGAUACGGGUUGACUUGAGGAAGGUAGGGGAGAAUGGAAUUCCUGGUGGAGCGGUGGAAUGCGCAGAUAUCAGGAGGAACACCAGUGGCGAAGGCGGUUCUCUGGGCCUUUCCUGACGCUGAGGAGCGAAAGCGUGGGGAGCGAACAGGCUUAGAUACCCUGGUAGUCCACGCUGUAAACGGUGGGUACUAGGUGUGGGGUCCAUUCCACGGGUUCCGUGCCGUAGCUAACGCUUUAAGUACCCCGCCUGGGGAGUACGGCCGCAAGGCUAAAACUCAAAGGAAUUGACGGGGCCCCGCACAAGCGGCGGAGCAUGCGGAUUAAUUCGAUGCAACGCGUAGAACCUUACCUGGGUUUGACAUGGAUCGGGAGCGCUCAGAGAUGGGUGUGCCUCUUUUGGGGUCGGUUCACAGGUGGUGCAUGGCUGUCGUCAGCUCGUGUCGUGAGAUGUUGGGUUAAGUCCCGCAACGAGCGCAACCCUUGUUCACUGUCGCCAGCACGUUAUGGUGGGGACUCAGUGGAGACCGCCGGGGUCAACUCGGAGGAAGGUGGGGAUGACGUCAAGUCAUCAUGCCCCUUAUGUCCAGGGCUUCACGCAUGCUACAAUGGCUGGUACAGAGAGUGGCGAGCCUGUGAGGGUGAGCGAAUCUCGGAAAGCCGGUCUCAGUUCGGGUUGGGGUCUGCAACUCGACCUCAUGAAGUCGGAGUCGCUAGUAAUCGCAGAUCAGCAACGCUGCGGUGAAUACGUUCCCGGGGCU
RNAcentral lists this ribosomal RNA (1346 nucleotides) under uncultured bacterium. RNAcentral describes it as "bacterial SSU rRNA". It matches the Rfam family "Bacterial small subunit ribosomal RNA", at positions 28 to 1381 of the family's 1533-position model. The record is from RNAcentral.